AACACCCACAAACAACGUCACGACGCAACGUGGUUAAACAGUACGUUUAUUAAAGUAACUGGGUGAACGACAUCGGAGCGGACUGCAAAUCGCAACGCUACUUUCUCGAGUGCAGAUACUCUUCGAGACGGCUAAACAACGUGUCCAACUCGCUGAGACCUUUCCGCGUGCCGUUAUCCGAUUUCCUUUCCGCCUCCUGAGACAGCCGACUAAUCACGGACUUAUCUCCGCAACCUAACAGAGGCUGGGAGCCCGACAAAAGUAAAACAGCGUGCUAUGAACACGUUGUUACCUCUGCGCGGACAGCGCCGCCACAGAGACACUUACGCAUUGCCGCAUGUCUUUGUAGAUGGAUUCUAGCGUCGAGCGCAUACUAUGCAAUUCCGUCUUAAGUCCAGGAUAGACGUGGUCGCCUGCGGGGAACACGAUCUCCAGAUACCGCCUCAACAACCAGUCCAUGACGCUGCAUCCCCAACAGCCUUUGACCACCGUACCGUCGAGCCACACGGAGUAGUCGUCCUCACGUUGCUACAAGAGGAAAACUACGUCACCCGACACGCGGAAAAGAAAGACCGUCGCAAUAAACCGUACCUACGUGACCUACCAACGUAGGUUUUACUCGAUGAAAGGUGACGCGGAGAUCUUGCAAUCUGGUCGCGUAAUCCUCCGGACGACACUGCGGCUUUGUAUUCUUUAUCAUCGUCGUCGUCGUCGUCGCCGCCGGCUUCGCCUCCUCGGAAGCGCCUAGAAAAAAGACGAUCAGGACCAGAGAGGAAGAGACCAUCACCGACAGCAUCGCCGCAGCAUGCCGCCCCAAUCCGCCGCCCAACUGCGCGUCCCAGAUACCACUCGUAGACUGUCAGCCUCGCGAGGAGACACCGCGGACCGGGGAAACGGAUAAGUUUACGAACAGAAAUCUCAAGAGAAAGACGCUGACCCGGCAAGUACCGUCACGGAGACACGGUGGUUUUUAUUGAAUUUCCAGUGUAUCGAGCCACCGUGAUGCAGGUACGGUGGUUUUAUGUGAAGUGCCGCUAUCUAUAGGCGAUGUGUUCCCUGACGGUGUGUGUUUUUUGGGGAUAGACAACGUGGUUCUUGUACGUGGUUUUUACCCUGCUCAAUAAAGUCACGUUUUCCUUACACGGUGUUGUGUC
Molecule: long non-coding RNA, 1154 nt
Filed under: Human betaherpesvirus 5
Lineage: Duplodnaviria; Heunggongvirae; Peploviricota; Herviviricetes; Herpesvirales; Orthoherpesviridae
Description: RNA5.0
Source: RNAcentral